GGAGAGAUGGCCGAGUUGGUUAUGGCGUCAGGUUAAGGCUACUAAGCUUUGACACUUAAGCAUCUAACUCUCAUGAGUUGGAUGGACGUUUCCUGAUGGGAGUAUUCCCGCGUGGGUUCGAAUCCCACUCUCUUCA
This 136-nucleotide transfer RNA is filed under the name Capronia coronata CBS 617.96. It matches the Rfam family "tRNA". Rfam says of the family: Transfer RNA (tRNA) molecules are approximately 80 nucleotides in length. Their secondary structure includes four short double-helical elements and three loops (D, anti-codon, and T loops). The record is from Rfam by way of RNAcentral. Lineage: Eukaryota; Fungi; Ascomycota; Eurotiomycetes; Chaetothyriales; Herpotrichiellaceae.